This 357-nucleotide unclassified non-coding RNA is filed under the name Zea mays. RNAcentral's name for it is "misc RNA Zm00001eb138010". Lineage: Eukaryota; Viridiplantae; Streptophyta; Magnoliopsida; Poales; Poaceae. The record is from RNAcentral.
CUGCACCCUGGGAAUCAGAACAACUGUGCAAAGCCUCUCAUAUAUCAAGCAAAUGGAUGGUCAAAGGAAGUAGAAUCAUUCUUUGAUAUCCCUGUCCUUGGGUGUGGUACCCACAAUGAUGUUUGUGGAGACCUCGCUUCUGUAGGCUCCAGUCGCUUCACAAGGUUCAGAGUGGAUCAAAGUUACCGGAGCAGAGCUGCCGAUUUCGCAAGCGCAUGGCGACCCAUGAAUGCAGGCUGGGGUGUUUAUCAGGAUGCACUGGUGGUUAUCCUUGGUAGCAACCAGCUGAUGCCAGUUCCUCCUUGUUUGGUACCUCCCUCAUCCUCAAACCAGCUUCUGAUUGGGCAACUAAAAUGA